This 202-nucleotide long non-coding RNA is filed under the name Elaeis guineensis (African oil palm). RNAcentral's name for it is "long non-coding RNA (EGUI_LNC039074)". Lineage: Eukaryota; Viridiplantae; Streptophyta; Magnoliopsida; Arecales; Arecaceae. The record is from RNAcentral.
GGCAUCCAAAAUUGAUCACAAUCAGCCAUGUUACCACCCCUUAAGACCCCAUGUUUAAAUAGGAGAAGGGAUAGGGUUUAGGUGAGAGUCCAAACUCCUUUGGACUCUAGAAUUGUGCCGCCCACCCUUUUUCUUUUUGCGCCCACAUAUCUCAUUGAGAAAAGAGAGUUCAACAUGAACUCUUACAUGCACAAGGGAGAGG